RNAcentral lists this ribosomal RNA (1013 nucleotides) under Firmicutes bacterium Mecdtt4. RNAcentral describes it as "bacterial SSU rRNA". It matches the Rfam family "Bacterial small subunit ribosomal RNA", at positions 69 to 1061 of the family's 1533-position model. The record is from RNAcentral. Lineage: Bacteria; Bacillati; Bacillota.
CAGAACCCUUCGGGGUGAUGUUUAUGGAAUGAGCGGCGGACGGGUGAGUAACACGUGGGCAACCUGCCUGUAAGAUCGGGAUAACUCGCGGAAACGUGAGCUAAUACCGGAUAACACUUUUCAUCUCAUGGUGAGAAGAUAAAAGACGGUUUCGGCUGUCACUUACAGAUGGGCCCGCGGCGCAUUAGCUAGUUGGUGAGGUAACGGCUCACCAAGGCGACGAUGCGUAGCCGACCUGAGAGGGUGAUCGGCCACACUGGGACUGAGACACGGCCCAGACUCCUACGGGAGGCAGCAGUAGGGAAUCUUCCGCAAUGGACGAAAGUCUGACGGAGCAACGCCGCGUGAGUGAUGAAGGUUUUCGGAUCGUAAAACUCUGUUGUUAGGGAAGAACAAGUUGGGUAGUAACUGACCCAACCUUGACGGUACCUAACCAGAAAGCCACGGCUAACUACGUGCCAGCAGCCGCGGUAAUACGUAGGUGGCAAGCGUUGUCCGGAAUUAUUGGGCGUAAAGCGCUCGCAGGCGGUCUUUUAAGUCUGAUGUGAAAGCCCACGGCUUAACCGUGGAGGGUCAUUGGAAACUGGAGGACUUGAGUACAGAAGAGGAGAGUGGAAUUCCACGUGUAGCGGUGAAAUGCGUAGAGAUGUGGAGGAACACCAGUGGCGAAGGCGACUCUCUGGUCUGUAACUGACGCUGAGGAGCGAAAGCGUGGGUAGCGAACAGGAUUAGAUACCCUGGUAGUCCACGCCGUAAACGAUGAGUGCUAGGUGUUAGGGGGUUUCCGCCCCUUAGUGCUGAAGUUAACGCAUUAAGCACUCCGCCUGGGGAGUACGGCCGCAAGGCUGAAACUCAAAAGAAUUGACGGGGGCCCGCACAAGCGGUGGAGCAUGUGGUUUAAUUCGAAGCAACGCGAAGAACCUUACCAGGUCUUGACAUCCUCUGAUACCUCUAGAGAUAGAGUUUUCCCUUCGGGGACAGAGUGACAGGUGGUGCAUGGUUGUCGUCAGCUC